RNAcentral lists this ribosomal RNA (253 nucleotides) under uncultured bacterium. RNAcentral describes it as "partial 16S ribosomal RNA". It matches the Rfam family "Bacterial small subunit ribosomal RNA", at positions 524 to 776 of the family's 1533-position model. The record is from RNAcentral.
UACGUAGGGUGCGAGCGUUAAUCGGAAUUACUGGGCGUAAAGCGUGCGCAGGCGGCUUUGCAAGACAGAUGUGAAAUCCCCGGGCUCAACCUGGGAACUGCAUUUGUGACUGCAAGGCUAGAGUACGGCAGAGGGGGAUGGAAUUCCGCGUGCAGCAGUGAAAUGCGUAGAUAUGCGGAGGAACACCAAUGGCGAAGGCAAUCCCCUGGGCCUGUACUGACGCUCAUGCACGAAAGCGUGGGGAGCAAACAGG